UCCUCCAGGACUAAGCCACAGCAUCAUGCCUGUUGCAGCAGCACUGGCGUUGACAAUAGUCCUGGGCAUUCUCGUCCUUUGCCUCUGGAUUUACAAGCAGAAUGGCGGUGCCAUCUUGCCGAGACUCACGGGGUCGAGGGGCCCUUACUACCCUAUGUCCAGCUUCAGCAUGGCACACUUAGAAGAGAACAUCCUCAUUUCUGAUCUUGAGAAGAAUAACCAAUGACGAAGUUAGAGCUGCUCCAACUACGGAGAGCAAAGGAGGCCACGAAGGGCGUCCUGUCUGCAUUUCCCCUGAACAUCAUGCCCUUAUAAUGUGAAUUGCACCUCCGUUUUAAUUAAUCUUCAAGCACUGGCUUUGAAUUUUAAGCAAAUCAGAUGAGAUUGAAUGUAUUCAUUUCCUUUAACUGUGGCCCAUUCUGAAAAGGGGUGCUGGUUAUUAUUUUAAAAGACAAGAGCUAUUAAAUAGUGUUCCCAGACCAGACUGGUAUGCAUUCAGAAUGUAAGUACACUCGAUACAUUGAAAGGGAAAGGGGAAGACUCUGGCUGCAUAGGACAGGAGGGUGCUUCUGAAAAACCAGUGCUUAUCUGAUUCUAAUUCAACUGUUUUUUAAUACCGUGGUUUGGGGAAAAUCCUAAAUUUUAAACUUCCAGUUCUGGGCUCUCAACUAAUACUUUGGAUGACAUUAAGUUUUAUUAGUUCUCAAGCUAGAUUAGAUCUGGUUCUCAAGCUAAAUGGGAGAAAUACCACCUUCUCUUAGAUAUGAAGGUCUCAGUAGACAGGUGAUCUCAGGAACAACCACAUGAUUUAAAAAGUGCCAUAAACCCUCGCUUGUUAAGUUAUUACCAUGAUUUAAAGGUAAGCUCAAAGAAAUGCAUUGAGAUUUCAAUAAUUUGUUGAAAGUUCAUGGACCUUAUUGAAAACUAAAAUCUAAAGUUAUAAAAUACUAUAUAGUAAUCUUUUGUUAUUGUUUGGUUUGUUUGUUUUGUUUUGUUUUGUUUUGUUUGUAAGACCUGGCUUCUCUGUGUAAGCAGUCCUGACUGUCCUGGGACUCACUUUGUAUACCAGGCUAUCCUCAAACC
This 1083-nucleotide long non-coding RNA is filed under the name Rattus norvegicus (Norway rat). RNAcentral describes it as "long non-coding RNA NONRATT019320". Lineage: Eukaryota; Metazoa; Chordata; Mammalia; Rodentia; Muridae. The record is from RNAcentral.